AGAGUUUGAUCAUGGCUCAGGAUGAACGCUAGCGGCAGGCCUAAUACAUGCAAGUCGAACGGUGUAGCAAUACAUAGUGGCGCACGGGUGCGUAACACGUAGGUAACCUACCUUUUACUGGGGCAUAACGAUGGGAAACCAUCGCUAAUUCCGCAUGAGAUCACCAUCCGGCAUCGGGUAGUGAUGAAAGAUUGAUUGGUAAAAGAUGGGCCUGCGGCUGAUUAGCUAGUUGGCGGUGUAACGGACCACCAAGGCCAUGAUCAGUAGGGGUUCUGAGAGGAAGAUCCCCCACACUGGCACUGAGAUACGGGCCAGACUCCUACGGGAGGCAGCAGUGGGGAAUUUUCCGCAAUGGGCGCAAGCCUGACGGAGCAAUACCGCGUGGGGGAGGAAGGCUCUUGGGUCGUAAACCUCUUUUCUCAGGGAAGAACACAAUGACGGUACCUGAGGAAUCAGCAUCGGCUAACUCCGUGCCAGCAGCCGCGGUAAUACGGAGGAUGCAAGCGUUAUCCGGAAUGAUUGGGCGUAAAGGGUCUAUAGGUGGUUGUUCAAGUCUGCUGUUAAAGCGUCUGGCUUAACCAGAUAAAGGCGGUGGAAACUGAACGACUAGAGUGCGGUAGGGGUAGAGGGAAUUCCCAGUGUAGCGGUGAAAUGCGUAGAUAUUGGGAAGAACACCUGUGGCGAAAGCGCUCUACUGGACCGCGACUGACACUGAUGGACGAAAGCUAGGGGAGCGAAUGGGAUUAGAUACCCCCGUAGUCC
This 762-nucleotide ribosomal RNA is filed under the name uncultured cyanobacterium. RNAcentral describes it as "bacterial SSU rRNA". It matches the Rfam family "Bacterial small subunit ribosomal RNA", at positions 8 to 796 of the family's 1533-position model. The record is from RNAcentral. Lineage: Bacteria; Bacillati; Cyanobacteriota.